UGGCCCUAGCCCAAACUACCCAAACAUAAAAGAUCAACCCAGUCCCUAAAUCAAAACAUUCAAUUACUCUUAAAAGUAUAGGAGAUAGAAAUUAUCCACAGGCGCUAUAGAGACAGUACCGCAAGGGAAAGAUGAAAGAAUAAACCCUAGUACUAAAUAGCAAAGAUUCCCCCUUGUACCUUUCGCAUAAUGAGCUAACCAGAACAACUUUGACAAAGAGAACUUCAGCCAAAAACCCCGAAACCAGACGAGCUACUCACGGGCAGUCAAAAGGACAAACCCAUCUAUGUAGCAAAAUAGUGGGAAGACCUAUGAGUAGAAGUGAAAUGCCAACCGAGCCUGGUGAUAGCUGGUUGUCCAAUAUAGAAUCCUAGUUCAACUUUAAAUUUACCCAAAGAACACACCACUCUUAACGUAAAUUUAAAUGCUAGUCCAAAGGGGUACAGCUCUUUGGACACAGGACUCAACCCCUAACAGAGAGUAAGCCACAAGCCACCCAUUGUUGGCCUAAAAGCAGCCACCAAUUGAGAUAGCGUUCAAGCUCAAUAAACCUAUAUAUACCUAAUCCCUAUCAUUCACGUCGAACUCCUAACACCUAACUGGACCAAUCUAUAUUCAUAUAGAAGCAAUACUGUUAGUAUGAGUAACAAGAACCUUAUUCUCCCCGCACAAGUUUAUAUCAAACCGAAUACCUACUGAUAGUUAACAGUACAGUAUAAACCACCCAACUGGAACCUACUUACAUCUCCAACUGUUAAUCCAACACAGGUGUGCAUAAAGGAAAGAUUAAAAGAGACAGAAGGAACUCGGCAAC
Molecule: ribosomal RNA, 814 nt
Filed under: Galeopterus variegatus (Sunda flying lemur)
Lineage: Eukaryota; Metazoa; Chordata; Mammalia; Dermoptera; Cynocephalidae
Description: partial 16S ribosomal RNA
Rfam family: Bacterial large subunit ribosomal RNA (bases 237-353)
Source: RNAcentral